Molecule: ribosomal RNA, 1417 nt
Filed under: uncultured bacterium
Lineage: Bacteria
Description: bacterial SSU rRNA
Rfam family: Bacterial small subunit ribosomal RNA
Source: RNAcentral
AUGCAAGUCGAGCGGACAGAUGGGAGCUUGCUCCCUGAUGUUAGCGGCGGACGGGUGAGUAACACGUGGGUAACCUGCCUGUAAGACUGGGAUAACUCCGGGAAACCGGGGCUAAUACCGGAUGGUUGUUUGAACCGCAUGGUUCAAACAUAAAAGGUGGCUUCGGCUACCACUUACAGAUGGACCCGCGGCGCAUUAGCUAGUUGGUGAGGUAACGGCUCACCAAGGCAACGAUGCGUAGCCGACCUGAGAGGGUGAUCGGCCACACUGGGACUGAGACACGGCCCAGACUCCUACGGGAGGCAGCAGUAGGGAAUCUUCCGCAAUGGACGAAAGUCUGACGGAGCAACGCCGCGUGAGUGAUGAAGGUUUUCGGAUCGUAAAGCUCUGUUGUUAGGGAAGAACAAGUACCGUUCGAAUAGGGCGGUACCUUGACGGUACCUAACCAGAAAGCCACGGCUAACUACGUGCCAGCAGCCGCGGUAAUACGUAGGUGGCAAGCGUUGUCCGGGAAUUAUUGGGCGUAAAGGGCUCGCAGGCGGUUUCUUAAGUCUGAUGUGAAAGCCCCCGGCUCAACCGGGGAGGGUCAUUGGAAACUGGGGAACUUGAGUGCAGAAGAGGAGAGUGGAAUUCCACGUGUAGCGGUGAAAUGCGUAGAGAUGUGGAGGAACACCAGUGGCGAAGGCGACUCUCUGGUCUGUAACUGACGCUGAGGAGCGAAAGCGUGGGGAGCGAACAGGAUUAGAUACCCUGGUAGUCCACGCCGUAAACGAUGAGUGCUAAGUGUUAGGGGGUUUCCGCCCCUUAGUGCUGCAGCUAACGCAUUAAGCACUCCGCCUGGGGAGUACGGUCGCAAGACUGAAACUCAAAGGGAAUUGACGGGGGCCCGCACAAGCGGUGGAGCAUGUGGGUUUAAUUCGAAGCAACGCGAAGAACCUUACCAGGUCUUGACAUCCUCUGACAAUCCUAGAGAUAGGACGUCCCCUUCGGGGGCAGAGUGACAGGUGGUGCAUGGUUGUCGUCAGCUCGUGUCGUGAGAUGUUGGGUUAAGUCCCGCAACGAGCGCAACCCUUGAUCUUAGUUGCCAGCAUUCAGUUGGGCACUCUAAGGUGACUGCCGGUGACAAACCGGAGGAAGGUGGGGAUGACGUCAAAUCAUCAUGCCCCUUAUGACCUGGGCUACACACGUGCUACAAUGGACAGAACAAAGGGCAGCGAAACCGCGAGGUUAAGCCAAUCCCACAAAUCUGUUCUCAGUUCGGAUCGCAGUCUGCAACUCGACUGCGUGAAGCUGGAAUCGCUAGUAAUCGCGGAUCAGCAUGCCGCGGUGAAUACGUUCCCGGGCCUUGUACACACCGCCCGUCACACCACGAGAGUUUGUAACACCCGAAGUCGGUGAGGUAACCUUUAGAGCCAGC